This 140-nucleotide ribosomal RNA is filed under the name Blumea balsamifera. RNAcentral describes it as "partial 26S ribosomal RNA". It matches the Rfam family "Eukaryotic large subunit ribosomal RNA", at positions 1 to 141 of the family's 3401-position model. Lineage: Eukaryota; Viridiplantae; Streptophyta; Magnoliopsida; Asterales; Asteraceae. The record is from RNAcentral.
GACCCCAGGUCAGGUGGGACUACCCGCUGAGUUUAAGCAUAUCAAUAAGCGGAGGAGAAGAAACUUACAAGGAUUCCCUUAGUAACGGCGAGCGAACCGGGAAUAGCCCAGCUUGAAAAUCGGACGGUUUUGCUGUCUGA